GACGUAGGGCGCGAGCGUUGUCCGGAUUUAUUGGGCGUAAAGAGCUCGUAGGCGGCUCAUUGCGUCAACCGUGAAAACCAGCAGCUCAACUGUUGGCUUGCGGUUGAUACGGGUGGGCUGGAGUUCGGUAGGGGAGAAUGGAAUUCCUGGUGUAGCGGUGAAAUGCGCAGAUAUCAGGAGGAACACCGGUGGCGAAGGCGGGUGUCUGGGCCGAUACUGACGCUGAGGAGCGAAAGCGUGGGGAGCGAACAGG
Molecule: ribosomal RNA, 253 nt
Filed under: uncultured bacterium
Lineage: Bacteria
Description: partial 16S ribosomal RNA
Rfam family: Bacterial small subunit ribosomal RNA
Source: RNAcentral